AAUCCAUGAUAUGGGCAGCAUCUUAAAAGGUCCUUGAACCUCUCCCAUGCAUCGUACAUGCUUUCAUCAUCAAACUGCACAAAAUAAUAUAUGUCAUUUCUAAGUUU
RNAcentral lists this small nucleolar RNA (107 nucleotides) under Ricinus communis (castor bean). Its description in RNAcentral is "Plant small nucleolar RNA R71". It matches the Rfam family "Plant small nucleolar RNA R71". From Rfam's summary of the family: R71 is a member of the C/D box family of snoRNAs containing the C (UGAUGA) and D (CUGA) box motifs. Multiple nearly identical copies of this snoRNA have been identified in Arabidopsis, and it is thought to function as a 2'-O-ribose methylation guide for 18S ribosomal RNA. Lineage: Eukaryota; Viridiplantae; Streptophyta; Magnoliopsida; Malpighiales; Euphorbiaceae. The record is from Rfam by way of RNAcentral.